AUGGAACACAUACAUUCUACUGGCAAGAACCAAGAAACCAAAAACGAGCCUCUGACUGACGCGGGGCCAGUGGGGAGAGAGAUGGUCCUCAUCAGCUGACCUGGACUUGAACCGACUAGACCGCGAGUCCACAGUGACUCCACAAGCUCUCUUGAGAUGCUGUCUCCUCACCGCCUGGCCCAAAGGACCCAGCGGAUGCUGUGAGCAGAGCUGACACUGGAAGAUGUCCCAUUAUCUCAAGUGUCCUGCCACGUUCCCCUCAUUUGCCUGUGGGCCCGUUAUUUGAUAGACUCACUUACAGUCAAGUCAGGCUCUCAUUCCCACACCCCAAGACCUCCUUUCUGUGGGUCCAGAAGGAAGAGAGUGAAAGGAUCACGUUAUAGUCUGAAUGUUUGUGUCCCCGCCAGAUUCAUAUACUGAAAUCCUAUCCCCAGUGUGAUGGUGAGGACACAAGAAGACGGUCAUCGAUGAACCAGGACGAAGAUUCUCAACAGACACUGAAUCUGCUGGCUCCUUGACCUUGGAGUCCCAGGCUCCAGAACUGAGAGAAAUAAAUGUUUUUUGUCUAAGCCACCAAGCCUAUGGUAUCUUUGUUAUAGGGGCCCAAAGAGACUAAAAUAGGCCAGGAUGGGGCCAAAGCCUGACCCCAUAGAGGAUACAUGGGACAGGUGUGGCUUCAGAGUUGGGUGAGGUGAGUGACUAAAGAAUGGAACACAGUGAGGUGGUCAACUGGUUGACCCAGGACUGGUCCCAGAAAGAUCCCUAUGUCGCCAUUCCACAGAAGCUGAUGGGAAGUCUGGAAAAGCCUCUAACGGUGUGACCACCACCCCCUUUGCCUGUCCAAGUCAGUGAAAAGAGGGGGAAGGAGCAAGGGACGGUAGUUCUGGGAUCUAGUUCUUGGUAGCUGACACCCACAAGCUACCAAGUGGGUGUCACUUAGUAUGGCUGCAACUCCCUCCUCCUUCCAAGCUAACCCCAGAUAAGGGCCCUCUGGUGGACUAAUGGCCAAAAUUCUUAACUGUCCUCUCCUUCGUUGCAUGACGUUUAUUUC
This is a long non-coding RNA of Bos taurus (domestic cattle), 1051 nucleotides long. Lineage: Eukaryota; Metazoa; Chordata; Mammalia; Artiodactyla; Bovidae. The record is from Ensembl.